CUGGUUGAUCCUGCCGGCGGCACCGCUUCGGAAUGCGACUAAGGCAUGUUAGACUAAGAGGUGUAAGACCUCGGCAGACGGCUGAGUAACACGCGGGUAACCUGCCCUGGAGUGGGGGAUAACCUCGGGAAACUGAGAAUAAUUUCCCCAUAGGUGUGGUAUGCUGGAAUGCUUCCACGCUAAAAGCCCCGGCGCUCCAGGAUGGGCCUGCGGCCUAUCAGGCUGUAGUGGGUGUAACGGACCCACUAACCUACGACGGGUAGGGGCGUUGAGAGACGGAGCCCCCAGAUGGAUUCUGAGACACGAAUCCAGGCCCUACGGGGCGCAGCAGCUACGAAAACUGCCCAAUGUGGGAAACCACGAGGCGGGCAUUCCCGAGUGCCAACGCAU
Molecule: ribosomal RNA, 390 nt
Filed under: uncultured archaeon
Lineage: Archaea
Description: bacterial SSU rRNA
Rfam family: Archaeal small subunit ribosomal RNA
Source: RNAcentral